AGGAGCCAUGAGGGUAAAGUGCAUCAGGAGGGGACACAGAUCAUCAUACUUAACAGUCAGUAUCAGUGGAAACUGACUGAAACAGAGGCCGUCAUCCUGUGCACUGCUGCGUGGACCUGAACUUAAAACACCGCAUCAGUACGACAGCACGUGCAUUCAUUGAAAACAGACUAACCUCCAGUCGUGAGGGUAGCCAUGACGACCACGGAGGCCGAUAGCAGGGCGUAUAAUCGGAACAUCAAGGCCCGACAGUCGUCUGACAACUCAAGCUCUGCUGGCAAUCACGAUAAGGUGGUGGAAGAAGAUGCGAGGCAGUGGGAAAGAUGUACUGAGAAGAUCAAAAUAAAAGUCAUGGAGCAGGUUCAGGAUCAGCUCAAGGAAAUUCUAGACAGAGUUCUGAC
Molecule: non-coding RNA, 401 nt
Organism: Neolamprologus brichardi
Lineage: Eukaryota; Metazoa; Chordata; Actinopteri; Cichliformes; Cichlidae
Source: RefSeq, a predicted model, not a curated record